This 411-nucleotide long non-coding RNA is filed under the name Lathyrus oleraceus (garden pea). RNAcentral's name for it is "Pisum sativum (pea) long non-coding RNA (PSAT_LNC010550)". Lineage: Eukaryota; Viridiplantae; Streptophyta; Magnoliopsida; Fabales; Fabaceae. The record is from RNAcentral.
GAAUAAUAAACAAGCAAGUGGAAACCCUAAUCAUCUCCUAACCAUUCAUUCAAACAUGUUUUAAAGGUUAAUCAAUUGACACAUUGUAUGAAGAUAAUCAAGUUCAAACAUGUUAAUGAUAAAAAUCAACACUUGAAAGAGUGUUCUAUAAUCAUACAAACAUUCAACAACAAGAGAUGAACCAAAGGAUUUGAUUAGGAUCCCUAAAAAAAACACAAAAAAAAGAACAUGUUUUCCGUCAAAUCAAAAGUGGUGAAAUAAAUAAUAUUUUUGGAAUUUUUUGGUGUUAUCAUAAAAUAGACAUUCUCAUGAACACAUGGCAAAAAGAAUGGGUCAAAAAGGUUAAGGGAUCAUGAAGUUAUGGGUUUUUGAAGUUAUUAAGAAAAAUGAACAUUUAACAAGUGAGAAAAA